RNAcentral lists this ribosomal RNA (508 nucleotides) under uncultured bacterium. RNAcentral's name for it is "partial 16S ribosomal RNA". It matches the Rfam family "Bacterial small subunit ribosomal RNA", at positions 28 to 523 of the family's 1533-position model. The record is from RNAcentral.
GAUGAACGCUAGCUACAGGCUUAACACAUGCAAGUCGAGGGGAAACGAUAUUGGAAGCUUGCUUCCGAUAGGCGUCGACCGGCGCACGGGUGAGUAACGCGUAUCCAACCUGCCCAUCACUUGGGGAUAACCUUGCGAAAGUAAGACUAAUACCCAAUGACGUCUCUAGAAGACAUCUGAAAGAGAUUAAAGAUUUAUCGGUGAUGGAUGGGGAUGCGUCUGAUUAGCUUGUUGGCGGGGUAACGGCCCACCAAGGCGACGAUCAGUAGGGGGUAUGAGAGGAAGGUCCCCCACAUUGGAACUGAGACACGGUCCAAACUCCGACGGGAGGCAGCAGUGAGGAAUAUUGGUCAAUGGGCGAGAGCCUGAACCAGCCAAGUAGCGUGCAGGAAGACGGCCCUAUGGGUUGUAAACUGCUUUUAUAAGGGAAUAAAGUGGGAGUCGUGACUCAUUUUGCAUGUACCUUAUGAAUAAGGACCGGCUAAUUCCGUGCCAGCAGCCGCGGUAA